This 473-nucleotide ribosomal RNA is filed under the name uncultured bacterium. RNAcentral describes it as "bacterial SSU rRNA". It matches the Rfam family "Bacterial small subunit ribosomal RNA", at positions 328 to 793 of the family's 1533-position model. The record is from RNAcentral.
GCAGAGCACUCCCACGGGAGGCAGCAGUGGGGAAUAUUGCACAAUGGGCGCAAGCCUGAUGCAGCCAUGCCGCGUGUAUGAAGAAGGCCUUCGGGUUGUAAAGUACUUUCAGCAGUGAGGAAGGUGGAUAUGUUAAUAGCAUAUUCAUUUGACGUUAGCUGCAGAAGAAGCACCGGCUAACUCCGUGCCAGCAGCCGCGGUAAUACGGAGGGUGCGAGCGUUAAUCGGAAUUACUGGGCGUAAAGCGCAUGCAGGUGGUUUGUUAAGUCAGAUGUGAAAGCCCCGGGGCUCAACCUCGGAAUUGCAUUUGAAACUGGCAAACUAGAGUACUGUAGAGGGGGUAGAAUUUCAGGUGUAGCGGUGAAAUGCGUAGAGAUCUGAAGGAAUACCGGUGGCGAAGGCGGCCCCCUGGACAGAUACUGACACUCAGAUGCGAAAGCGUGGGGAGCAAACAGGAUUAGAUACCCUGGUAG